Molecule: ribosomal RNA, 253 nt
Filed under: uncultured bacterium
Lineage: Bacteria
Description: partial 16S ribosomal RNA
Rfam family: Bacterial small subunit ribosomal RNA
Source: RNAcentral
UACGGGGGGUGCGAGCGUUGUCCGGAAUCAUUGGGCGUAAAGCGCGCGUAGGCGGCCAGAUAAGUCCGGUGUGAAAGUCACAGGCUCAACCUGUGAAUGCCGCUGGAAACUGUCUGGCUAGAGUCCGGAAGGGGCGAGUGGAAUUCCUGGUGUAGCGGUGAAAUGCGCAGAUAUCAGGAGGAACACCAAUGGCGAAGGCAGCUCGCUGGGACGGUACUGACGCUGAGGCGCGAAAGCGUGGGGAGCAAACAGG